AGCUUUCUGUAUCCGUGCUGAGAUCUCGUCGGACACCAACCCAUUAGGGCUGACCAGACUUCCAAGAUAAGUGAAGUU
Non-coding RNA from Schistosoma rodhaini, 78 nucleotides. Lineage: Eukaryota; Metazoa; Platyhelminthes; Trematoda; Strigeidida; Schistosomatidae. The record is from Rfam.